UAAGUAAAUCAGAUGGCCGCGGAUAAUUUUAUCUGAGGAAAGUCGGAGCUCCAUAGGGCAGGAUGCUGGAUAACGUCCAGUGGGGGCAACCCUAAGGCAAGUGCCACAGAAAUAAACCGCCUCUUUAUGAGGUAAGGGUGGAAAGGUGAGGUAAGAGCUCACCAGCAUUUAGGUGACUAAAUGGCUCGGUAAACCCCAUCCGGAGCAAGACCAAAUAGAGGAACUUUGAAGUUGCCCGCUUCGUUCCCGGGUUAGGUCGCUGGAAGUGGCAGGCAACUGGCACUCAAGAUAGAUGGCUGUCUAAUACAGAACUCCGCUUAUAGAUUUGCUUACUCC
Molecule: RNase P RNA, 336 nt
Filed under: Syntrophomonadaceae bacterium
Lineage: Bacteria; Bacillati; Bacillota; Clostridia; Eubacteriales; Syntrophomonadaceae
Description: RNase P RNA component class A
Rfam family: Bacterial RNase P class A
About the family: Ribonuclease P (RNase P) is a ubiquitous endoribonuclease, found in archaea, bacteria and eukarya as well as chloroplasts and mitochondria. Its best characterised activity is the generation of mature 5'-ends of tRNAs by cleaving the 5'-leader elements of precursor-tRNAs.
Source: RNAcentral